Non-coding RNA from Podarcis lilfordi (Lilford's wall lizard), 78 nucleotides. NCBI's taxonomy places the organism in Eukaryota, Metazoa, Chordata, Lepidosauria, Squamata, Lacertidae. The record is from the annotation of a GenBank genome assembly.
GGAAGAGUCGAUAGCUCAGUUGGUUAGAGCAUGGUGCUGAUAACACCAAGGUCGCAGGUUCAAUCCCUGCAUAUUCCU